CCUACGGGAGGCAGCAGUGAGGAAUAUUGGUCAAUGGGCGUAAGCCUGAACCAGCCAAGUCGCGUGAGGGAUGAAGGUCCUAUGGAUCGUAAACCUCUUUUAUAAGGGAAUAAAGUGCGGGACGUGUCCCGUUUUGUAUGUACCUUAUGAAUAAGGAUCGGCUAACUCCGUGCCAGCAGCCGCGGUAAUACGGAGGAUCCGAGCGUUAUCCGGAUUUAUUGGGUUUAAAGGGUGCGUAGGCGGCCUGUUAAGUCAGCGGUGAAAGCCCGGGGCUCAACCACGGCACUGCCGUUGAAACUGGCAGGCUUGAGUGUGUGAGAGGUAGGCGGAAUGCGUGGUGUAGCGGUGAAAUGCAUAGAUAUCACGAAGAACUCCGAUUGCGAAGGCAGCAUGCC
RNAcentral lists this ribosomal RNA (395 nucleotides) under uncultured bacterium. Its description in RNAcentral is "partial 16S ribosomal RNA". It matches the Rfam family "Bacterial small subunit ribosomal RNA", at positions 338 to 730 of the family's 1533-position model. The record is from RNAcentral.